RNAcentral lists this transfer RNA (76 nucleotides) under Chromatiales bacterium. Its description in RNAcentral is "tRNA-OTHER". Lineage: Bacteria; Pseudomonadati; Pseudomonadota; Gammaproteobacteria; Chromatiales. RNAcentral also lists the same sequence under 1 other name. The record is from RNAcentral.
GCCGAUGAUUGUCUGAUUCUGGCGUAUUGGAUUUGUAAUCAGUAGGUCCACGGUUCGAAUCCGUGCGUCGGCUCCA